Molecule: ribosomal RNA, 1439 nt
Filed under: uncultured organism
Description: SSU rRNA
Rfam family: Bacterial small subunit ribosomal RNA
Source: RNAcentral
CUGGAUGAACGCUAGCUACAGGCUUAACACAUGCAAGUCGAGGGGCAGCAUGGUCUUAGCUUGCUAAGGCCGAUGGCGACCGGCGCACGGGUGAGUAACACGUAUCCAACCUGCCGUCUACUCUUGGACAGCCUUCUGAAAGGAAGAUUAAUACAAGAUGGCAUCAUGAGUCCACAUGUUCACAUGAUUAAAGGUAUUCCGGUAGACGAUGGGGAUGCGUUCCAUUAGAUAGUAGGCGGGGUAACGGCCCACCUAGUCUUCGAUGGAUAGGGGUUCUGAGAGGAAGGUCCCCCACAUUGGAACUGAGACACGGUCCAAACUCCUACGGGAGGCAGCAGUGAGGAAUAUUGGUCAAUGGGCGAGAGCCUGAACCAGCCAAGUAGCGUGAAGGAUGACUGCCCUAUGGGUUGUAAACUUCUUUUAUAAAGGAAUAAAGUCGGGUAUGCAUACCCGUUUGCAUGUACUUUAUGAAUAAGGAUCGGCUAACUCCGUGCCAGCAGCCGCGGUAAUACGGAGGAUCCGAGCGUUAUCCGGAUUUAUUGGGUUUAAAGGGAGCGUAGAUGGAUGUUUAAGUCAGUUGUGAAAGUUUGCGGCUCAACCGUAAAAUUGCAGUUGAUACUGGAUAUCUUGAGUGCAGUUGAGGCAGGCGGAAUUCGUGGUGUAGCGGUGAAAUGCUUAGAUAUCACGAAGAACUCCGAUUGCGAAGGCAGCCUGCUAAGCUGCAACUGACAUUGAGGCUCGAAAGUGUGGGUAUCAAACAGGAUUAGAUACCCUGGUAGUCCACACGGUAAACGAUGAAUACUCGCUGUUUGCGAUAUACAGCAAGCGGCCAGGCGAAAGCGUUAAGUAUUCCACCUGGGGAGUACGCCGGCAACGGUGAAACUCAAAGGAAUUGACGGGGGCCCGCACAAGCGGAGGAACAUGUGGUUUAAUUCGAUGAUACGCGAGGAACCUUACCCGGGCUUAAAUUGCAGAUGAAUUACGGUGAAAGCCGUAAGCCGCAAGGCAUCUGUGAAGGUGCUGCAUGGUUGUCGUCAGCUCGUGCCGUGAGGUGUCGGCUUAAGUGCCAUAACGAGCGCAACCCUUGUUGUCAGUUACUAACAGGUCAUGCUGAGGACUCUGACAAGACUGCCAUCGUAAGAUGUGAGGAAGGUGGGGAUGACGUCAAAUCAGCACGGCCCUUACGUCCGGGGCUACACACGUGUUACAAUGGGGGGUACAGAGGGCCGCUACCACGCGAGUGGAUGCCAAUCCCAAAAACCUCUCUCAGUUCGGACUGGAGUCUGCAACCCGACUCCACGAAGCUGGAUUCGCUAGUAAUCGCGCAUCAGCCACGGCGCGGUGAAUACGUUCCCGGGCCUUGUACACACCGCCCGUCAAGCCAUGGGAGCCGGGGGUACCUGAAGUGCGUAACCGCGAGGAGCGCCCUAGGGUAAAAC